This 206-nucleotide long non-coding RNA is filed under the name Hordeum vulgare. RNAcentral's name for it is "long non-coding RNA (HVUL_LNC001466)". Lineage: Eukaryota; Viridiplantae; Streptophyta; Magnoliopsida; Poales; Poaceae. The record is from RNAcentral.
UUUUUCCUAUUAUCUUCUUCUCUUCUUCUUCUCCUUCUUACUUUUUUCUUCUCUUCUUCUUCUUCUUCUCCUUCUUAUUUUUUUCUUCUCUUCUUCUUCUUCUUCUUCUUCUUUUUCUUCUCCUCCUCCUCCUCCUCCUACUCCUCUUCUUCUUCUCCUCUUCUCGUCCUCCUCCUCCUCCUCCUCUCCUCCUCCACCUAACUAAC